RNAcentral lists this long non-coding RNA (11625 nucleotides) under Gossypium barbadense (sea-island cotton). RNAcentral describes it as "long non-coding RNA (GBAR_LNC001090)". Lineage: Eukaryota; Viridiplantae; Streptophyta; Magnoliopsida; Malvales; Malvaceae. The record is from RNAcentral.
AUGUUGUUGAACAAAUUCGUAUUGGAGAGCUAAUGGUAGCAAGUGAGAUCAAGCAUUCCCAUCAUGAUCAUAAUUUAAGACUCACUUUUAGUGGGAAGACCAAAGAUGAUGAUAGUCAGUGUGAUGGGUGCACGGGACCUAUAUCAACUCCUUUUUAUAGUUGUGAGCAAUGCAAGUUCUUUCUCCACAAAGAUUGCGCUGAAUUGCCUAAACAAAUGCCACACCCAUUUCACAAGCAUUUGCUUGCUCUCUCAAACUCACACGAUAUGUUUGGUUAUUCAUGUUGCAAUGCUUGCGGUCGUUGGUAUCAAGGAUUUAGCUACAGAUGCUACGAAGGAAAUUGCAGCUUCGAAAUUGACAUUCAAUGUAUAUUAUUGUUAGACACCUUGAAGCACCCAAGUCAUGAGCAUUCACUCUUUCUUGUCCACAACAACGAGGGAACUAGUUGCAGUGUUUGUUUCGAAACACUAGGGUAUGUUGCAUAUAGAUGCAUGAAGCGCUGUGAUUUCAAUUUAGAUGUACAUUGUGCAACACUACCACUUACUGCUUGGUACAAGUAUGAUAGGCAUCCUCUUACUUUGACUCAUUUUGAUGAUUUUGAGCCUUAUCAAUAUUACUACGAUCUCUGUGAGAAAGAAAGAGAGCGAAAUCGUUGGUUUUACUAUUGUGUUGAUUGUGAUAACUCUCUUCAUCUCAAUUAUGCUAUUGGGGAUCUCCCAUAUGUGAAGUUUGGGAACGAAAUCAAAAGUUUUCAUAAGCAUCCACUUACUAUUGUGAAAAACAUCUGGAAUUGCCCUUCAUGUAAGGUAUGUCGUGAGGUUUGUAAUGGGCAGGCCCUAGAAUGUAAAAAAUCUGAAUGCAACUUUAUGGUCCACUCGGGUUGCCGUUGGGGUCUCUAGUGAAGCAUUUUAACAAUAUUCCGUCAAGUUUAAGAAACAGAGAAGGCACAAGAUAAGAUGUGUAUAGUGUUCUGUGGAAGGGUGUAGCAGAUUUGGUAAAAAUGGGUGAUGGCCUUAGUUGUUGUAAUUUGCAUUAUGUUAUGUUUACGAUAGUUGUUUGAGCAGUAUAAGAUUGUGUUAGAUAAAACAUGAUUUGUAAGCACAUAUCUUUAUCUUUCACUUUUCUUAUCUGCUUGUUAUUCUUUCAACUUUUAUCUAAAAUUAUUAAUGAGAACGAAGAAUUGCUUUCUAGCUUGUCAUAAUAAAAUAUUUUUAUUAUCAGAACGAUAAAAAUACUAAAAUAAUAAAAAUAAUGUUGAGUUUGGAAAUUUAAAUACAAAAUCAUUCUUCCACUCACAAUUGCAUAAAAAAUUAUGUGUGAUUGUUAAGACCAAAACAUAAGCGGAUUUGGUAUACCUUAUUAUUUUUGCACAGUGAAAAUGUAAGCAGGCAUACAAAAUAAAAGUUUAUAUAUGUUUUAGCUUUGUACAAGUCCAAUUUGCAGGCCCAACUAACCCAACUAAAGCCCAACCUAAAACAGGCCCAAAUAACCCCAGAACCCAAUCAAGACCUAAUGCCUAACCCUAGCCCAGUUAGCCCACUACCCAAAAUCAGAAAAAUAAUAAACAAACCCUAGGUGCACCGCACCUAGGGACCUUUGACCAGCCAACACCUGCAGCACCGCCAUUGUAACACCCCUUACCCGAGACCGUUUUCGGAGUCGAGCACGAGGCAUUACUUAGCUUAUCUUACCAAUUCGGAGCAUAAAAACAAGGUUUGAAAAUUUAUUUCAUUAUUCGCAGCAAAUCUGUCCAAUCACGCAGCAGUUACUAAAUUAAUUAUAACUUGAGCUACAGAACUCGAAAUUUAAUUCCGUAAAUUUUCCCUGAAACUAGACUCAUAUAUAUACUCACCAUAAAAUUUUUAAAAUUUUUGGUUCAGCAAAUUAGUACAGUUUAUUAGUUAAAGUCUCCCCUGUUUCACCACCUGACUGCCCUGACCUCUAGUCACUAAAAAUAAGUUUUCUCACUGUAGGAUUUUCAUAUGAAGUUCUUACUUGUUUCUAAAGAAAAUAGACUCAUUAAGGAAUCUAAGCAUGUAAAUUUCAACUCAUAAACAUUUUUGUACAAUUUGUAAUUAUUUUCUAAACUCAGAAUAGGGGACUCCAAAAACAGUUCUGACCCUAUCUUACUAAAAUUCACAUAUCUUAAAAUAUAAAUUUCUUUUUUCUACACCGUUAUUUUUCCAUGAAAAUAGACUCAACAAGCUUUAAUUCCAUAUAUCAUUCACCCUCUAAUUCAUUUUAUACUAUCUUGGGUGAUUUUUCAAAUUCACGUCACUGUACUGCCUGAAUUCUGUUUCUUUGCAAAAUUUUAUCCUUUCAUGAUUUCCAUGCAUAAUUUAUCACCUAAUCUUUCAUAACAACAAACACCUUCAUCCUUAACCAUUUUAAUAACCAUACAUCAUCAAAUACUUACACAUCACUCAUUAGCAAAAUCAUCAUUACAAACAUACAAAAUAACUAAAUCCCUAUACAUGCCAUAACUCAAACGUGUUUCGAUAUAAAAUACCGAGCAGUUGUAGUUGUUAGUGUGGACGAUCUCCGACUUCUUUAGGAUCCUUGAAGUAGCUUUGCAAUACUAUAAGAGAAAGAGAAAUAAAAGAAGUAAGCAUAAAGCUUAGUAAGUUUACUAGCAAAUAAAUAACAAUAUUUAACUUAAAUAAUUAAACUCAAUGUCUAUAUCUCUAGUUUACUCUUUAGUUAAUCUUAUACUAGUUCUCUUACUUGUUUACUUAGAAUACUUGUGUGCAUAACUUACUCAAUCCUUGCUGCAUCGUUGAACAUCAAUUGAUAGUAUAAUAAGUUCUUAAGUCUUACAACUUACCUGGGCUUGCCAUUUAUGCUUUAAACUGAACUUCCAUGAACAUGAUUCGUUUACAAGCCCGUUGAGCUACAUUGGAAUAAUAAGGAUACUCGGGUCUCUUCUGAUAAUAACAUGCCAAAGCCAUGUCCCAGACAUGGUCUUACAUGGGAUGUUCUCGUGAUGGUGCCCAUGCCAUGUCCCAGACAUGGUCUUAUAGGGGACCUCUCAUAUCGGUGCCAACGCCAUGUCCCAGACAUGGUCUUACAUGGGACCUCUCGUCUCGGUGCCCAUGCCAUGUCCCAGACAUGGUCUUACAGGGGACCUCUCAUGAUCUUAAGGAUGCCAAUGCCAUGUCCCAGACAUGGUCUUACAUGGGAUCUCUUUACCCAAAUGUCAUGACAUUCGUAUCCAGUACCAUCCUUAUGUAUCAACGGGACUUUUAAAUUUUAAUUCUCUAUCAUUUCAUGCUUGGAUCAUCAUCAAAUAAAUUCAUAAAAUAAAUUCAUAAUUGCUGGAAAUUAACAGCAUUAAUAAUAAAUAUUGAAAUAUUGCAUUUAUUUACCGUAAACUUACCUCGGUACCAAUUAUAGCCAAAUUCACCAACUUAGUCUUCAACUUUAUUCUUCCCUUUGUCUAACCUCGAGUUUCGUACUUCUUGAUCUAAAAUAGUAAAUUUAACUUAUUUAAUAAUCACAUUCAUCAAAACAGCCCUCGACUCUAAAUUUUUCAAAAUUACAAUUUUGCCCCUAAACUUUUACAUAAUUACAUUUUUGCCCCAAGGCUCGGAAAUUAAACUUCAUCUCUUAUUCUUAUGUUUUAUAACAUUCUGAACAUUUUUCCCUUCUAUGGAAACAUCAAAUUCCCACUCUAACAUGUACUUAUGAACAUUAGGUAUUUUUACCGAUUAUGUCGUUUUACUCGUUUUCACUUAAAAUCGCUUAGCAAAAGUUGUUUAACAUAAUUUAUAGCUUCACAUUCUAUCAUAAAACAUCAAAAUAAAUACUUUUCACCUAUGGGUAUUUUUCCAAAUAUAAACCCUAGGUUAAAUUAUUGCUAGAAUAAGCUAAAUUAAGCUACCGGGAUCUCAAAAACGUAAAGAACAUUAAAAACGGGGCUUGGGAUCACUUACUAUAGAGCUUGGAAGCUUGAAAACCCUAACUAUGGCUUCCCCCCUUGCUGAUUUCGUUCAUAUGAAGAAGAUGAUGAUUUUUGCCAUCUUUUUCCCUUUUAAUUCAUUUUAAUUACUAGAUUACCAAAUUGCCCCUAACUUAAAAAUUUUCUAUUUCACUUAUCUCAUUUCCAUUUUUGUCUACCAAGUUACCAAUGGUAUAAUUACCAUAUAAGGACCUCCAAUUUAAAGUUUCAUAACAAUUGGACACCUCUAACAUGUAGAACUCAACUUUUGCACUUUUUACAAUUUAAUCCUUUUGACUAAAUUGAGUGCCCGAACGUCGAAAUUUUCGAACGAAAUUUUCAAAAAAUCAUUUUGUGAAAUUGUAGACCAUAAAAAUAUAAGAAAAAUAAAAUUUUUCUCAUCGGAUUUGUGGUCUCGAAACCACUGUUCCGAUAACCUCAAAUUUGGGCCAUUACAACUCUCCCCCCCCUUUUUAGGAUUUUCGUCCUCGAAAAUCUUUCUAGUAAAGAGAUUUGGGUAUUGCUUCCUCAUUGUCUCUUCCGGUUCCCAUGUUGCUUCCUCAAUCCCGUGCUUUUGCCAUAGCACUUUCACCAGAUUUACCUUUUUGUUUCUAAGCUCCUUUGUUUCUCGUGCUAAUACUUUAACCGGUUCUUCAUUAUAAGUCAUAUCCGGCUGAAUUUCUACUUCUGUUGGAGUAAUAACAUGUGAAGGAUCUGAUCGAUACCGUCGUAGCAUAGAUACAUGAAAUACAUUAUGAAUUUUGUCGAGUUCCGGUGGUAAAGCCAAUCGGUAAGCAACUGGUCCAAUUCUUUCUAUAAUCUCAUAUGGUCCGAUAAAUCUUGGACUCAAUUUACCCUUUCGACCGAACCGGAGAACUUUCUUCCAAGGAGACACUUUUAAGAAUAUUUUAUCACCCACCUGAAAUUCAAUCUCCCUUCGUUUAAGAUCGGCGUAUGACUUUUGACGAUCGGAAGCUGCUUUAAAACUAUCCCGAAUCAGUCUUACUUUUUCUUCUGUUUCCCGAAUCAAAUCAACCCCGUGUAUCUUCUUUUCACUGAGCUCUGUCCAAUAUAAUGGUGUUCUACAUUUUCUACCAUACAAAGCUUCAUACGGAGCCAUUUUAAUACUGGACUGAUAACUGUUAUUAUAAGCAAAUUCAAUCAAAGGUAGAUACCUUUCCCAAUUACCUUGAAACUCUAAUGCACAACAUCGGAGCAUAUCUUCCAAUACCUGAAUUACACACUCAGAUUGGCCAUCUGUCUGAGGAUGAAAUGCAGUACUGAAAUACAACUGAGUACCCAAAGCUUCUUGCAAUUUGUUCCAGAAACAAGACGUAAAUCGGGGAUCUCUGUCUGAUAUAAUGGAGACAGGCACUCCAUGUAGUCUAACAAUCUCAGAUAUAUACAAUCCAGCCAAUUUAUCUAAAGAAUAAUCCAUACAUACUGGGAUAAAGUGCGCGGACUUUGUCAAUCGGUCGACAAUUACCCAAAUGGCAUCUUUCUUCCUCGGAGAUAACGGUAACCCAAAUACAAAAUCCAUAGUGAUUCUUUCCCAUUUCCAUUCUGGUAUAGUGAUUGGCUGAAGCAACCCCGAAGGUACCUGAUGUUCAGCCUUAACCUGCUGACAUACUAAACAUCUUGAUACAAACUCAGAGAUAUCACGUUUCAUACCCGGCCACCAAUACAUCUUUUUCAAGUCAUUAUACAUUUUAUUACCUCCCGGAUGUACGGACAUAAUACCACUGUGUGCUUCGUGUAAAAUCUUCUGUACAAGUUCUGAAUUCUUCGGUACACAUACUCUGCCUCUGAAUAAUAAACAACCAUCAGUUCCAAUCUGAAAUUCUGAAUCAUUACCUGACUCACAAUGCACCCGUUUAGCCUGUAAUUUCUCAUCAUUCCUCUGAGCUUCACAUAUUUGUUGACGAAAUGUCGAUUUAGCUCUCAAUUCAGCUAUGAUUGAACCAUCAUUAGACAGUGACAACCGGGUAUUCAUAGCUCGUAAAGCAAAUAGAGAUUUUCGGCUCAAAGCAUCAGCUACCACGUUAGCCUUACCCGGAUGGUAAUCAAUAACCAAAUCAUAAUCCUUUAUCAAUUCAAGCCACCUGCGUUGUCUCAAAUUCAAAUCUUUCUGUGUCAUCAAAUAUUUCAAGCUUUUGUGAUCAGUAUAAAUAUGACACUUUUCACCAUACAAAUAAUGCCGCCAUAUUUUCAAUGCAAAUACAAUAGCAGCUAACUCGAGAUCAUGUACCGGGUAGUUUCUUUCAUGUGGCUUAAGUUGUCUUGAAGCAUAGGCUAUUACUUUAUCUUCUUGCAUCAAGACACAACCCAAACCAUUUAAUGAUGCAUCACUAUAAAUAAUAAAUUCCUUACCCGAUUCAGGCUGUACCAACACAGGUGCUUUCGUUAACAACUCCUUCAAUCGGUCGAAACUUUGCUGGCAUUUUUCUAUCCAUUCAAAUUUAACAUCUUUCUGUAAUAAACGGGUCAUUGGAGAAGCUAUCAUAGAAAACCCUUGUACAAAUCUCCGAUAAUAACCAGCUAAACCCAAGAAACUUCUAACUUCAGAUACAUUCUUCGGUGGACUCCAAUUGACAAUAGCUGAAAUUUUACUCGGAUCUACCCUGAUGCCUUCUGCGGAUACAAUAUGUCCGAGAAAACCUACCUCUCGAAGCCAAAAUUCACAUUUACUGAAUUUAGCAUAAAGUUUCUUUUCACGCAGAAUUUGCAACACUAUUUUCAAAUGUUCUGCAUGCUCAGUUUCAUCCUGAGAAUAAACUAAAAUGUCAUCAAUAAAAACUACUACAAACCUAUCUAGAUACGGUCUGAAUAUCCGGUUCAUCAAAUCCAUGAAUACUGCAGGUGCAUUAGUCAACCCAAACGGCAUAACCAGAAACUCAUAAUGCCCAUACCUGGUUCUGAAAGCUGUCUUUGGCACAUCUGGCUCUUUUACCCGUAACUGAUAAUAACCCGAUCGGAGAUCAAUCUUUGAAAAUACUGUGGCACCUUUCAGUUGAUCAAAUAAGUCGUCAAUUCGAGGCAAUGGGUACUUAUUCUUUAUAGUUACCUUAUUAAGCUGCCGAUAGUCAAUACACAAUCUCAAAGACCCGUCUUUCUUUUUCACAAACAGAACUGGAGCACCCCAAGGUGAAUGACUCGGACGAACAAAACCUCUGUCAACAAGUUCCUGUAACUGUGCCUUUAACUCUUUUAAUUCUGUAGGAGCCAUACGAUACGGAGCUAUGGAAAUUGGGGCAGUUCCCGGAAUCAGAUCUAUAGAAAAUUCCACUUCUCUUUCUGGUGGCAACCCUGGUAACUCCUCUGGAAAUACAUCAGAAAAUUCACAUACAACUGGCACUGCCUGUAUCUUUGACUCAGAUACCUUAGUAUCCAACACAUACGCCAAAUAAACAUCAUUCCCUUUUCUAACACACCUCUGAGCUGUCAUAACUGAAAUCAUAUCGGAUAAUCCCUCUGUCUGAUUAGAUUUAACCCAAAGUAAUUCUCCAUUCUGGCAUUUCAACACAACAUAUUUUUGUCUACAGUUUACUACUGCAUCAUGCUGAGUUAACCAAUCCAUGCCCAAUAUCACAUCAAACUCAUCAAAAGGCAAUAACAUCAAGUCAACCGGGAAACAAAUACCUUUUACCAUCAGUGGACAAUUUUUACAAACUUUAUCCACUAUCACAAACUGGCCCAGGGGGUUCGAGACUUUAACUAUAAAUUCAGUAGGUUCAACAGACAAAUUUUUAACAAAUGCUAAUUUUGUGCAUAUAUAUGAAUGUGUAGAGCCAGGAUCAAUUAAUGCAAUAACAGUAGUAUCAUAGAGAGAAAAUGUACCCGCAAUUACAUCAAGAGAGGACGCCUCUUCACGAGCUCGAAUAGCAUAUGAUCUUGCAGGUGCUCUAACAUCUGAUCUAACCGCUGAAUCUUUGAAUGCACCCCUAUUACUUGCCCCCACUCCUGGGUUUCUCUGCAGUCUACCUCUGGUAGGAGCAUUACCUGAUCUCGCACUCGUUAUUUCUUCUCUUUUAGUUGCUUCAGGACAAUCCCGAAUAAAGUGAUCGGAUGCUCCACAUCUGAAGCAAACAUUUUCACCUGCUCUACACUCUCCGAGGUGGCGUCUCCCACAUUGAGGACAUUCCGGUCUAGGAGGUCGAGUACUGCCAGUACUUGCAACUGUAGUGGUUUGAGCUCUAAAACCCUCGAAUCUUCUACUUCUGCUUCGGCCAGAAUAUAUAUGUGGAAAAUGUGAUCCGCUAGAGAGCUCCCUAGGCCUCUUAGAUGUAGACUGAAAUGAUUUACUCAUUUGUCUCUUCUUUGUAUCCUGCGCUCCAGCUUCAGCUUUGCUCUUCUCUUUUUCUUUUAACAAGUCUUCUACUUUACAAGCUCUUUCUACCAGAACAACAAACUCUCUGAUUUCCAAUACACCCACUGAUAGUCGGAUGUCAUCAUUAAGCCCAUCUUCAAAUCUCUUGCACAUGUUGGCUUCGGUGGAUACAAAUUCCCGAGCAUACUUACUAAGUCUGACAAAUUCGCGUUCAUAUUCAGUCACGGACAUCUUACCUUGUUUUAGCUCAAGAAACUCCUUCCUUUUCUGCUCUGUAAAUCUCUGGCUGAUGUACUUCUUUCGAAACUCCUCCUGAAAGAAAUCCCAAGUAACCCUCUCACUCGGUACGAUAGACACGAGAGUCUUCCACCAAUGAUAAGCGGAAUCUCUGAGAAGUGAGACCACACACUUCAUACAUUCUUCCGGUGUACAAGAUAAUUCUUCAAAAACCCUGAUAGUAUUCUCAAGCCAGAAUUCUGUUUUUUCUGCAUCGUCAUCUUUGGUAGCCCGAAAUUCUUCAGCCUCUUGCUUCCUAAUCUUAUCAAUAGGUGGUCUCUCCCUGAUAAAUAUACCUGCAGUUGGGGAAGCUACAUGGGGAACCUGUGAAUCUUGAGGGGGUGGAGGUCUUACAGCCGGAUUCGUACGAACGAACUCGGCAAACCAAUCAGUCAUGGCUUGGAAGAAGGCUUCUCUAGCUCCUCCUCCCUGUCUAUCUGAUGCAGGUCUUUCACUAACAUUAACAUCUGAUGGCACUGUCCCUUCUGCGGGAAUAGGCGCAUUACUCUCUACUUCAUCUGUACUAGCUCGUUCAGGAUCCAUAACUAUAAAAGAAAACAUUUUAAAAUCGUCAGGAGUCGUCACACUAUCAAAAUAUAUAAGUAUGGCAUGUAUAGGUAGACUCUUAUUCUUAGAUUAAAACAUGUUCUUAUCACCCCUAAACACCACCAGUCAAAAUCAUAUCUUACUCAAGUUCAAAAAACCUCCUAGUUGAAGAGAAGACAAUCGAAAUCAUCCUUAACCCACAGAUCCUUAUUCAACAUCGAUCAAGAGGACAUUGAACAUGAUUCCAUGAUAAGCUUGUUAAAAUCCGUCAAGAAAGAAAAGGUGGAUCAGUAGCAUUCAACAGUGUUCCUCAUCAGCUAUGGCCGUCGAUGAUGAACCUCAGACCCCUCAGCCGUUUGAGUUCACAUCCUGAUUUCACUUGGAUUUCGUUUUGACAAUAGUUUUUAGAGACGACUGGUGUUUGGUCACAUUGCAGAUCUUGGACCUCAACCAGUUACAUUCGUUCUAAUGUUUUUUUCUAUUUUUAGGGGAAAUAUUGUCAUAUACAUGCUCAACCAUUAUUCACCAUUUAAUUUAAGCUGAAAAGUGCCACAUUAGAUUUUGUUGCCUAAUUUCUUUUUUAAAUGUUGAUAUGCAUGAAUAUAUUGAAUAUACACUAGAAAUAUAAAAUUAAAAUUAAUUAUAAUUUUAUUUAUAAUUAAGUUAAAUAAAUUAUAAGAAAUAUAAACUAUAAAGCAAAUUGAAACAAAUAUAUAGUAAAAUUUUGAACUGAAAAUAUAUAUUUUAAACUUAAAUAGUAAACUGUUAAACUUAAAAUAUAUUAUUAAGUAAAGACACAUUUUAAUAAGAUUGAUUAAAGUAAAUUUAUAUAUAUAUAUUUCAAUUUCUUAAUUAACUUAAAAAAAUAUUAUAUUCAGGAUUAGAUUUAAUUAAUUUAAUUAAAAUUGAAUGUUUCAUAUUCUUAUCCUUAGAAUGGAAAUGCUUGGGUUAUUAUGGGAAAAGAAAUAUCGACAAAUACUCUAACAAGUCAACGACGAAAAUGACUCUUCUCUUUAAGGAGUAAAGCAUGACCUAAGAAAGUAUACCACAAAGGCUGGAGUAAAGUGAAGCAAACUCAAGGGUUUUCUUGUAAUGGAUGUGAGUGAGUGUGAGAGUAGUACAGAGGGGGAGACCAUGGAACUUCAACAUUUCAGCCAUCAACAUCCUUUGGUCUUCUUCAAAUAUCAGCAGACUGUUGCAAGCGAAGAAGUAGAUCCAGAAGCAGCUCUUUGCCGUGGGUGUGAGAAACCUGUAGAGGGCUGGAGCUAUGGCUGCAAUCAAUGUGAGUUUUAUCUUCAUAAGGGAUGUGCUGAGUUAGAGUUAGCCCCCCAGAUUCAGCAUCCUUUCCACCCCAAACACCCUCUAACUCUUUUGCCAGAAUCACUUUAUUCUGGGGGGUGCGAUUUCUGUGGUAAGGCAUUUCGGGGAUUUGUUUAUAAUUGUUAUGAUUGUAAGUUCGAUCUGCACAUCAAUUGUGCUUUGCUUCAAUCAUCCGUUGCUGCAAAUUUUCCUAAUUCUUUGCACCCCCAUCCAUUGUUCUUCAUUCAAAACCAUAACAACGAAGUCGAUUCUGAUUGCCCCGGGUGUCAAAAACCAAUAUCUGGUCCAUUUUACCACUGUUCUGAUUGCUCGUAUCCUACAUUCUUUAACCUCCAUAAGGAAUGUGCUGAACUACCCCUUGAGAUUAAUCACCCCUGUGACCGUAAGCAUCCUCUUACUCUCUUGCCACAACCGCCUACUCAUCCCCAGAAAUGUAGUUGCUCUAUGUGCAGAAUCCAAUGGAAGGGGUUUGUUUAUUCCUGCUCUCUUUGCAACUUUGAUCUUUCACUUGAUGAUUUUCUUUUUUCACCACCAACAAUCACAGUUCCAAGUCAUGAACACCCGUGGAUGCUUGUAUCUAGAAAAAUGUCGUUUGUUUGUGAUUUUUGUGGCACUGACGGAGAUCACUCCCCCUAUUUCUGUGCUACAUGUGUACUUUUUGUCCACAAAAAUUGCAUUUCAUUGCCACGCCACAUCAUGAUAACACGACAUCGUCACACGAUAUCUCUUUCUUAUUCUUUUAGACAAAAUCAAGUUGACGAUGGGAUGUGCAGAGUUUGUUAUUUGAAAGUUGAUACAAGCUACGGCAGUUACCGUUGUUCUGCUUCUGAUUGCAAUUAUAUUGCUCAUGCACUUUGUGCAACUGAUAAAGCAAUUUGGGAUGGAACAAUUAUGCUUGAAGGCUAUGAUGAGAGGUCCGAGGAAGUGGUGCAUGAACCUUGGAAUUUGAUUACUGAUGUUGUUGAACAAAUUAGUAUUGGAGAGCUAAUGGUAGCAAGUGAGAUCAAGCAUUCCUAUCAUGAGCAUAAUUUAAGACUCACUUUUAGUGGGAAGACCAAAGAUGAUGAUAGUCAGUGUGAUGGGUGCACGAGACCUAUAUCAACUCCUUUUUAUAGUUGUGAGCAAUGCAAGUUCUUUCUCCACAAAGAUUGCGCUGAAUUGCCUAAAAAAAUGCCACACCCAUUUCACAGGCAUUUGCUUACUCUCACAAACUCAAACG